RNAcentral lists this ribosomal RNA (445 nucleotides) under Rothia dentocariosa. RNAcentral describes it as "bacterial SSU rRNA". It matches the Rfam family "Bacterial small subunit ribosomal RNA", at positions 28 to 482 of the family's 1533-position model. The record is from RNAcentral. Lineage: Bacteria; Bacillati; Actinomycetota; Actinomycetes; Micrococcales; Micrococcaceae.
GACGAACGCUGGCGGCGUGCUUAACACAUGCAAGUCGAACGAUGAAGCCUAGCUUGCUAGGUGGAUUAGUGGCGAACGGGUGAGUAAUACGUGAGUGACCUACCUUUGACUCUGGGAUAAGCCUGGGAAACUGGGUCUAAUACCGGAUACGACCAAUCUCCGCAUGGGGUGUGGUGGAAAGCGUUAUGGAGUGGUUUUAGAUGGGCUCACGGCCUAUCAGCUUGUUGGUGAGGUAAUGGCUUACCAAGGCGACGACGGGUAGCCGGCCUGAGAGGGUGACCGGCCACACUGGGACUGAGACACGGCCCAGACUCCUACGGGAGGCAGCAGUGGGGAAUAUUGCACAAUGGGCGCAAGCCUGAUGCAGCGACGCCGCGUGAGGGAUGACGGCCUUUCGGGUUGUAAACCUCUGUUAGCAUCGAAGAGCGAAAGUGACGGUAGGUGC